GCUGUGGUAGUCUAACAGAUAUUUGAUUUCGACUCAAAAGAACUCACUAACACCGGGCCACAGUA
RNAcentral lists this transfer RNA (65 nucleotides) under Boiga kraepelini. Its description in RNAcentral is "tRNA-Arg". Lineage: Eukaryota; Metazoa; Chordata; Lepidosauria; Squamata; Colubridae. The record is from RNAcentral.